RNAcentral lists this ribosomal RNA (740 nucleotides) under uncultured Alphaproteobacteria bacterium. RNAcentral's name for it is "bacterial SSU rRNA". It matches the Rfam family "Bacterial small subunit ribosomal RNA", at positions 97 to 874 of the family's 1533-position model. The record is from RNAcentral. Lineage: Bacteria; Pseudomonadati; Pseudomonadota; Alphaproteobacteria.
GGCGCACGGGUGAGUAACAUGUGGGAAUCUACCUAAAGGUUCGGAAUAACUGCGGGAAACUGUAGCUAAUACCGGAUGUGUCCGUAAGGAGAAAGAUUUAUUGCCUUUAGAUGAGCCCGCACUAGAUUAGUUUGUUGGUGAGGUAACUGCUCCACCAAGACUACGAUCUAUAGCUGAUUUGAGAGGAUGAUCAGCCACACUGGGACUGAGACACGGCCCAGACUCCUACGGGAGGCAGCAGUGGGGAAUAUUGGACAAUGGGGGAAACCCUGAUCCAGCAAUGCCGCGUGAGUGAAGAAGGCCUUCGGGUUGUAAAACUCUUUCAUCAAUGAAGAUAAUGACAUUAAUUGAAGAAGAAGCUCCGGCUAACUCCGUGCCAGCAGCCGCGGUAAUACGGAGGGGGCUAGCGUUGUUCGGAAUUACUGGGCGUAAAGCGUAUGUAGGCGGAUCAAAAAGUUAGAUGUGAAAUCCCUGAGCUUAACUUAGGAACUGCAUUUAAAACUAGUGAUCUAGAAUUUGGUAGAGGUUAGUAGAAUUUCCAGUGUAGAGGUGAAAUUCGUAGAUAUUGGAAAGAAUACCAGUGGCGAAGGCGACUAACUGGGCCAUUUUUGACGCUAAGAUACGAAAGCGUGGGUAGCAAACAGGAUUAGAUACCCUGGUAGUCCACGCAGUAAACGAUGAGUGCUAGUCGCUGGGUCAAUAGAUUCGGUGUCGAAGCUAACGCAUUAAGCACUCCGCCU